This 495-nucleotide ribosomal RNA is filed under the name uncultured bacterium. RNAcentral's name for it is "partial 16S ribosomal RNA". It matches the Rfam family "Bacterial small subunit ribosomal RNA", at positions 28 to 507 of the family's 1533-position model. The record is from RNAcentral.
GACGAACGCUGGCGGCGUGCCUAAUACAUGCAAGUAGAACGCUGAAGGAGGAGCUUGCUCUUCUGGAUGAGUUGCGAACGGGUGAGUAACGCGUAGGUAACCUGCCUGGUAGCGGGGGAUAACUAUUGGAAACGAUAGCUAAUACCGCAUAAGAGUAGAUGUUGCAUGACAUUUACUUAGAAGGUGCAAUUGCAUCACUACCAGAUGGACCUGCGUUGUAUUAGCUAGUUGGUGGGGUAACGGCUUACCAAGGCGACGAUACAUAGCCGACCUGAGAGGGUGAUCGGCCACACUGGGACUGAGACGCGGCCCAGACUCCUACGGGAGGCAGCAGUAGGGAAUCUUCGGCAAUGGACGGAAGUCUGACCGAGCAACGCCGCGUGAGUGAAGAAGGUUUUCGGAUCGUAAAGCUCUGUUGUAAGAGAAGAACGAGUGUGAGAGUGGAAAGUUCACACUGUGACGGUAUCUUACCAGAAAGGGACGGCUAACUACGUG